This is a long non-coding RNA of Mustela lutreola (European mink), 2253 nucleotides long. RefSeq lists it as uncharacterized. The record is from RefSeq and is a predicted model, not a curated record. The transcript has 4 exons. NCBI's taxonomy places the organism in Eukaryota, Metazoa, Chordata, Mammalia, Carnivora, Mustelidae.
GAGGAAACCCCCAUCUUGGUCUGCUGCUCCGUGUAACACGCAGCGGACUCACUCCGCUCUGGGAGUGAGAAGUGACUCACAGUUUUGGUAUCUCCUACGUAAGAGCUUUGGGGGGAUUCCUUGGCUUGCUGACAAGGGAAGGAAGAAAGCAGCAGCAGUGAGGUAAAACACGAUUACUUCCAACUGCCUUGCGGAGGAUAUGCAGUCGCUUGGUUUGACUGGAACAGCUUGCUGCUCUCUGAUGGCACGCGGAGGGAGAAUAAUUAAAAAGGCCAGCAUCACUUACUAAAUUCCUAACUAGCCAUCUGCCCUGACAUCUGGGUAAUACAUAUUUGUAGAAACACAGAAGAUUGGAGUUGAAAGACCUGCUCUCGGGCAACCUCCGCAUUGUGAAGAAGAGAAUAUUGGCCAAACAGGAUUAAUCAGUGUGGCAUUCCACAACUAGUAAGGGAAGAAUCAAAAGGGGAAUGCAGCUCUCUGAAGUCCAGUUCACAACUACUUGGCUACUGAAGCCACAAAAGCUGGUGUAAGAUGUAACUUCAUCAGAAUAUCCUUCUUGCAAAAGAUCUGGAACCACAUUUAAUCUGACAAGGUAACUGACCUACCAGUAAGAAAAAGACAGAUAACUCACCAAAAAGGGGGCAGAUGACUGGAAUAGAGACUUCACACACAAAAAAUAAAUCCAAAUGGCCAAUCAGUGCUUCAAUUCAUUGGAAUUAAGGAAAUGCAAAAUAAGUUGCAAUGAGAGACCACUUCUACACCUCCUGACUUGGCAAAAACUGAAGUCUGGCAAUAACAAGUGCUGGUACGGGUGCCACAGAACAAUGGGACACUCAUACACUGCUGGUGGAAAUGUAAAGAUACUACUUUGGAAAGUAGUUUUGCAUUAAUUAGUAAAGCUGAAAAGAUGCAUGCUCCUUGAUCCCCCCAAAACCCCUGCCAACAACUUAAAGCAGUGGCUCUCAAAGUGCAGUCCCUAUUCCUGGCUAGUAGCAUCAGCAUCACCGGGGAAUUUCUUAGAAAUGUAAACUCUCAAAAGCUACUCAUGUCCUUCUGAAUCAGACACUCUGAGGGUAGAGCCUCGUCAUCUGUGAACCUCCUGGGGAUGGUGAUGAGCUCUCAAGUAGAAGAAGUAUUGCCUAAGAGAAAUCUGUGAGCCUGGGCACAGGACACAUGACAAAAAUGUUCAUAUCAGUAACCACGGAUUCAUCAGCAGGAAUAUUUUGUGUUCUAUUUAUGUAACGGAAUAUUGGACUAUAAAGAAAACGAAUGCACUCCAUGGAUAAAGAUUAUAGUCAUGAUGUUGAAGAAAAGAAGCAAGACACAAAUGAAGAGAAAAAAAAGCCCUGAAGGAAAGCAAGGAAGUGAUGACCGUAAAAUAUAGGAAAAUGGUGAUCAAUAUUGAAGGAGCUCUGAUCAAGAAGGAAUUUGGAUUGGGGGCUGGAGUUUCUGAAGGGCUGGUAAAUGUCCCAUUCUUUGACCUGGGAGGUGGUUAUAUACUCACUUGCUUUAUGAUUAUACUAUAAAUUGUAUAUAUUUGCUCUUCCAAAUACAUAUUACAUUUUACAGUAAAAAUAAACUUUUGUAUCUACUACAGCUUUCAUUGUUGUUAUCAAAAUCAAAUUUAACCAGAUUAUAACCUGCCUAACUUCGUAAAUCUGCUUGAUUCUCCUUCCCAUUAUAAGACAGUCUUCCAUAACAUCACUACUCCUGUUCUCUCUCCUUUUUUUUUUUUUUCUCUUCCAGUUAGGGAAAGAGAAUUGGGGGCAGACUCUAAGACAACAAUUUAUAUCAGCCCAAGUUAUUAUCCCUUCCUCUCCCUAAAUAUGUGAGGAGUCUAAGAGCAACCAGUCUUCUCAAUAAGUGAGGGUAGUAUCAGCCACACGAUACAAGGUUCUAUUGUGACUUUGCUGUUUAUUUGCAACCUUCUUUAGUGAUUGUUGCUAGACUUAAUUCAUGCACAGUUAGAUGGGAAGAAAUAACAUAUUGGAUCUUUUAAGUAUAAGAGUAAUAUAGACAUUGGUUGGCUCAUACUUGAGUUGUCUAAGUUUAAAGCAGAACCUUCUUUUCAAAUAAUUUCGAAGUCAGGUCCUUAUUUUUGCUGUACUUCAAUUAAGAGAGGUGUACUUUGCCCCCAGGUCUAUGAAGAUUGCAUUGAUAGCCAUUUACCCUUCCAUGGAUAAUAUCAUUCUUUCAUCAACAGUAAUGAUCAUGUGAGUACUAACACUUAAAAAAAUAUAGCUUAUAUCAUAA